AAAGUAGAGUGCAGCCAAGGAUGACUUGCCGGCAGUUAUCUACUUAUAUAUUUACUCUUCUUCUUCUUCCGCUCUUCGAUCUUUUACGCCGGCAAGUUGUUCUUGGCUACAUUUUGCUCUCU
Vigna radiata var. radiata (mung bean) is the source of this 122-nucleotide non-coding RNA. NCBI's taxonomy places the organism in Eukaryota, Viridiplantae, Streptophyta, Magnoliopsida, Fabales, Fabaceae. The record is from Rfam.